CCUACGGGUGUCAGCAGUGGGGAAUAUUGGGCAAUGGGCGCAAGCCUGACCCAGCAACGCCGCGUGAAGGAAGAAGGCUUUCGGGUUGUAAACUGCUUUUGUCAGGGACGAAGCAAGUGACGGUACCUGACGAAUAAGCCACGGCUAACUACGUGCCAGCAGCCGCGGUAAUACGUAGGUGGCAAGCUUUAUCCGGCUUUACUGGGUGUAAAGGGCGUGUAGGCGGGGAGGAAAGUCAGAUGUAAAAACAACGGCCUCAACCUGUGGCCUGCAUUUGAAACGGUUUUUCUUGAGUGCUGGAGAGGCAAUCGGAAUUCCGUGUGUAGCGGUGAAAUGCGUAGAUAUACGGAGGAACAGCAGUGGCGAAGGCGGAUUGCUGGACAGUAACUGACGCUGAGGCGCGAAAGCGUGGGGAGCAAACAGGAUUAGAUACCCUUGUAGUC
This 443-nucleotide ribosomal RNA is filed under the name uncultured bacterium. Its description in RNAcentral is "partial 16S ribosomal RNA". It matches the Rfam family "Bacterial small subunit ribosomal RNA", at positions 338 to 795 of the family's 1533-position model. The record is from RNAcentral.